This is a long non-coding RNA of Saccostrea cuccullata (small rock oyster), 964 nucleotides long. RefSeq lists it as uncharacterized. Lineage: Eukaryota; Metazoa; Mollusca; Bivalvia; Ostreida; Ostreidae. The record is from RefSeq and is a predicted model, not a curated record. The transcript has 3 exons.
UUUGAUUUCUGCACCCACUCCUCCUUUCUAAAAAUUUUUAAUCUGCCUCUGGUAACUUUACGCUGUAAAUUUCUAUUCUCAUUUUAAUUAAAUUUAAAUAAAUACUAACAGCACUAUCAUGCAAUUUCAAUGACUAUCAUUUAAGGUAUUGAUUCAGUUUUCUGUCAUUCCUAAAAAUAAGUUGUACUGUAUCGUUGAUUUUUUGCAUAUAAAACAGUUUCUGCUCAUCAAACAUCCACGAGAAAGUGUUCUGUUUCGCAGUUAUUGUACGGUUGAUUUAAAAGGGAAAGCUCUCUGGGCCAUGUCACAAGAAGGAAAAAAGUAAAAUAUUUUUCAUACCUACCUACCCACUGUUAACAAUAUGGUUCAGGAAAGGGCAUACAUUAAGUCUUAAUUUUGGCAUGCCGCAUGGGGUCAAAAAUUACUAUUGAGUGAUGUGGAGAUAUACCUGUCUUGUAAUUAUAGGUAAAGAUAUGAACACUUUAAAAAAAAUAUACAAUGAAAUCUUUGAACUGAAAGCAAAAUUAUCAUUGCAGGUUUUUGGGUUUUCACCACAAGAGCAAAUUAUACAACUUUAUUCUUGAAAAUGUUAGAGACUGAGACUUGGAGUCAAAGUCAACAGACAUGCUUGCAUGGACAUGAAGGAUGUAAAGAACUAGAGUAUUAUAACUGAAAGCAUUUUGUCUGGAUUUGUGUAUGGAAACAGAAGGAUUUAGUAUUGGUAUCCUGAAUUUUUGUCAACUUCUAGCCAAGAUCCUGUACUUAAGCUGAAUGUGGAUGACAGAUGUACACACAGUACUAGUAUAGAGGGUAUUAUCUCGGUACCUUAAAACUCCAAACGACAGAGAGAAGAAGAAAACUGCAUAUUAUCGAUGUAUCUUCACAGCAACAUGACCCAAAGCACUACCAUUAAAGGAUUUGAUUUGACAUUAAGGAAGUAAAAAAAUGAAGGCAUUAGUCAUAA